RNAcentral lists this ribosomal RNA (536 nucleotides) under Tolypocladium endophyticum. Its description in RNAcentral is "eukaryotic LSU rRNA". The stretch from base 177 to 330 matches the Rfam family "5.8S ribosomal RNA". The record is from RNAcentral. Lineage: Eukaryota; Fungi; Ascomycota; Sordariomycetes; Hypocreales; Ophiocordycipitaceae.
GCGGAGGGAUCAUUACCGAGUUUUCAACUCCCAAACCCCUGUGAACAUACCUGAACGUUGCUUCGGCGGGACCGCCCCGGCGCCCUCAGCGGCCCGGAACCAGGCGCCCGCCGGAGGACCCAAACUCUUGCUUUAAACAGUGGCAUUCUCUGAGUCUCACAAACAAAAUAAAUCAAAACUUUCAACAACGGAUCUCUUGGCUCUGGCAUCGAUGAAGAACGCAGCGAAAUGCGAUAAGUAAUGUGAAUUGCAGAAUUCAGUGAAUCAUCGAAUCUUUGAACGCACAUUGCGCCCGCCAGUAUUCUGGCGGGCAUGCCUGUUCGAGCGUCAUUUCAACCCUCAAGCCCCCAGGGGCUUGGUGUUGGGGACCGGCCCGCCCUUCUGCGGCGGCCGCCGCCCCCGAAAUGCAGUGGCGACCUCGCCGCAGCCUCCCCUGCGUAGUAGCACAACCUCGCACCGGAGCGCGGAGACGGUCACGCCGUAAAACGCCCAACUUUCUUUAGAGUUGACCUCGGAUCAGGUAGGAAUACCCGCUG